ACAGCCAUGACACUAGGCAGCAGCUGGAGAACCCCAGUGACUGACAUGUCUUUAUCCGUGUGACCGAAGGCUUUCUGCAGAGCUUGAGUGCCCUGGUGGCAGCCUACAAUUAAUACUUCAAGCCAGAGUGCAAAAGGAAGGGCAUUCCAGAUGGAAAUAACGUUAAGAGUCCACCAACAACCAGCACACCACCACAGCUGCUUCUCAGGGAGGACACGUUGCUCAGCUGGGCAGCAGUGCAGAGAGUGGCUGAGAUACUAGGAGAAUAAGCUGUAGCCUGACUGGAAAAUCUUGAAGGCAACAACAGAGAUGGAACAGCAACUCAAAGAGCGGCCUGACGAGGGAGUGUUUUUGCCUGAGAGCGGACAGGAGAGCUGGGUAUCAGAUGAACAAGGUCCUGCACAAGGUGUGGUCCUGGGGAAGAAUAAAGGGCCCUCCUCAGAAUGGUGUUCUCACCUCCGGCUGCACAGAAUUACCUGGGGAGGCUGUGAAAAACUCCAGUGGCUAAGCCUCAUCUCAGCCAACGUCAUCCAUCUCUGUGGGUGAGAUCCAGGCACUGGGAGCUUUCCAUGUGCAUCCAGGAUUAACAAACACUCCCUUAGACAAAUGCUUUUGUUCCCUGCGUCAGUAGGAAUGGAUGAGAGUCUGAGACAUUUAGAAACAGGGAGAUUUCAAGACAGAGGAAAUUGAUCUCUUCAAUAAAGAAGAUAAGGUCAUCUGUUAAGAACAAGUGGAUAAUGACCAGUUUGGAGCCAAAAAUAAAGUGCAAAAGGUUUAGAACAGCCAUCAAGUUGAAAACAAAUGUCCAGCAAACGUCCCCGCAGUGCUCCCGCUCCUAUGUGACGAGGUCGCGUGAUGAAUGGCGCCAAUGAAAUACAGCUGCUGCUGCUGGAAGACGAUCCGAUAACUCAUCAAGGUCGAAACUUUAAAACUUAAAAGCAAGAAAACUACAAUGGUUAAGUCAACUUUGGAAAAUAAAUCACACGGAGAGUGACAUUAGUUGUGAGGAUUAAACAGUAGGAACA
Molecule: long non-coding RNA, 1025 nt
Organism: Equus asinus (donkey)
Lineage: Eukaryota; Metazoa; Chordata; Mammalia; Perissodactyla; Equidae
Source: Ensembl